This 452-nucleotide ribosomal RNA is filed under the name Streptococcus mitis. RNAcentral describes it as "bacterial SSU rRNA". It matches the Rfam family "Bacterial small subunit ribosomal RNA", at positions 28 to 467 of the family's 1533-position model. Lineage: Bacteria; Bacillati; Bacillota; Bacilli; Lactobacillales; Streptococcaceae. The record is from RNAcentral.
GACGAACGCUGGCGGCGUGCCUAAUACAUGCAAGUAGAACGCUGAAGGAGGAGCUUGCUUCUCUGGAUGAGUUGCGAACGGGUGAGUAACGCGUAGGUAACCUGCCUGGUAGCGGGGGAUAACUAUUGGAAACGAUAGCUAAUACCGCAUAAGAGUAGAUGUUGCAUGACAUUUGCUUAAAAGGUGCAAUUGCAUCACUACCAGAUGGACCUGCGUUGUAUUAGCUAGUUGGUGAGGUAACGGCUCACCAAGGCAACGAUACAUAGCCGACCUGAGAGGGUGAUCGGCCACACUGGGACUGAGACACGGCCCAGACUCCUACGGGAGGCAGCAGUAGGGAAUCUUCGGCAAUGGACGGAAGUCUGACCGAGCAACGCCGCGUGAGUGAAGAAGGUUUUCGGAUCGUAAAGCUCUGUUGUAAGAGAAGAACGAGUGUGAGAGUGGAAAGUCAC